This 468-nucleotide ribosomal RNA is filed under the name uncultured bacterium. RNAcentral describes it as "partial 16S ribosomal RNA". It matches the Rfam family "Bacterial small subunit ribosomal RNA", at positions 28 to 507 of the family's 1533-position model. The record is from RNAcentral.
GACGAACGCUGGCGGCGUGCUUAACACAUGCAAGUCGAACGGAAAGGCCCUGCUUUUGUGGGGUGCUCGAGUGGCGAACGGGUGAGUAACACGUGAGUAACCUGCCCUUGACUUUGGGAUAACUUCAUGAAACUGGGGCUAAUACCGGAUAGGAGCUCCUGCUGCAUGGUGGGGGUUGGAAAGUUUCGGCGGUUGGGGAUGGACUCGCGGCUUAUCAGCUUGUUGGUGGGGUAGUGUCUUACCAAGGCUUUGACGGGUAGCCGGCCUGAGAGGGUGACCGGCCACAUCGGGACUGAGAUACGGCACAGACUCCUACGGGAGGCAGCGGUGGGGAAUAGUGCACAAUGGGCGGAAGCCUGAUGUAGCAAAGCAGCGUGCGGGAUGACGGCAUUCGGGUUGUAAACCGCUUUCGCCUGUGACGAAGCGUGAGUGACGGUAAUGGGUAAAGAAGCACCGGCUAACUACGUG